RNAcentral lists this ribosomal RNA (433 nucleotides) under uncultured bacterium. RNAcentral's name for it is "partial 16S ribosomal RNA". It matches the Rfam family "Bacterial small subunit ribosomal RNA", at positions 29 to 507 of the family's 1533-position model. The record is from RNAcentral.
AACGAACGCUGGCGGCAUGCCUAACACAUGCAAGUCGAACGAGACCUUCGGGUCUAGUGGCGCACGGGUGCGUAACGCGUGGGAACCUGCCCUUAGGUUCGGAAUAACGCCCCGAAAGGGGUGCUAAUACCGGAUAAUGUCUUCGGACCAAAGAGUUAUCGCCUUUGGAUGGGCCCGAGUUGGAUUAGCUGGUUGGUAGGGUAAAAGCCUACCAAGGCGACGAUACAUAGCUGGUCUGAGAGGAUGAGCAGCCACACUGGGACUGAGACACGGCCCAGACUACUACGGGAGGCAGCAGUGGGGAAUCUUGGAAAAUGGGGGAAAGCAUGAUGCAGCAAUGACGCGUGAGUGAUGAAGGCCUGAGGGUUGUAAAGCUCUUUUACCCGGGAUGAUAAUGACAGUACCGGGAGAAUAAGCACCGGCUAACUCCGUG